AGAUGUGAGGGCGAUCUGGCUGCGACAUCUGUCACCCCAUUGAUCGCCAGGGUUGAUUCAGCUGAUCUGGCUGGCUAGGCGGCUGUGCCCUUCCUCCCUCACCGCUCCAUGUGCAUCCCUGCCGAAGCUGCGCUCUCGGUCGAAGAGGACGACCUUCCCCGAUAGAGGAGGACCGUUCUUCGGUCAAGGGUAUACGAGUAGCUGUGCUCCCCUGCUAGAACCUCCAAACAAGCUCUCAAGGUAGCCAGCAGUACAGGUGGUCGCUGAUCACCUGAAACAUGGCUAAUGUGACUGAAGAACAAAUUUUUUAUUUAAUU
RNAcentral lists this small nuclear RNA (317 nucleotides) under Prolemur simus (greater bamboo lemur). RNAcentral's name for it is "7SK RNA (ENSPSMG00000016916.1)". It matches the Rfam family "7SK RNA". From Rfam's summary of the family: 7SK was discovered as an abundant small nuclear RNA in the mid-70s but a possible function has only recently been suggested. Two independent studies have found that 7SK RNA binds the CDK9/cyclin T complex (known as elongation factor P-TEFb). Lineage: Eukaryota; Metazoa; Chordata; Mammalia; Primates; Lemuridae. The record is from RNAcentral.